This 343-nucleotide ribosomal RNA is filed under the name uncultured Desulfomonile sp. RNAcentral's name for it is "bacterial SSU rRNA". It matches the Rfam family "Bacterial small subunit ribosomal RNA", at positions 36 to 360 of the family's 1533-position model. The record is from RNAcentral. Lineage: Bacteria; Pseudomonadati; Thermodesulfobacteriota; Desulfomonilia; Desulfomonilales; Desulfomonilaceae.
CUGGCGGCCUGCCUAACACAUGCAAGUCGCACGAGAAACACAUCCUUCGGGGUGUGGAGUAAAGUGGCGCACGGGUGAGUAACACGUGGGUAACCUGCCCUUGGAACCGGGAUAACUGGCCGAAAGGCCCGCUAAUACCGGAUAAGACCACAUGAGCUUCGGCUUAUGCGGCCAAAGUCGGCCUCUCGAAGAAGCUGGCGUCUGAGGAUGGGCCCGCGGACCAUUAGCUAGUUGGUGGAGUAACGGUUCACCAAGGCUGAGAUGGUUAGCUGGUCUGAGAGGAUGAUCAGCCACACUGGAACUGAGAUACGGUCCAGACUCCUACGGGAGGCAGCAGUGAGGA